GAUGAAGAACGUAGUGAAAUGCGAUAAGUAGUGUGAAUUGCAGAAUUCAGUGAAUCAUCGAAUCUUUGAACGCACAUUGCGCCCCAUGGUAUUCCGUGGGGCAUGCCUGUUCGAGCGUCAUUUACCCCCCUCAAGCUCUGCUUGGUGUUGGGCGUCUGUCCCGCUUCACGCGCGGACUCGCCCCAAAGGUAUUGGCAGCGGUCGUGCCAGCUUCUCGCGCAGCACAUUGCGCUUCUCGAGGCACCGGCGGAUUCGCGUCCAUCAAGCCCACUUCCCCAUUUUGACCUCGGAUCAGGUAGGGAUACCCGCUGAACUUAAGCAUAUCAAUAAGCGGAGGA
This 338-nucleotide unclassified non-coding RNA is filed under the name soil metagenome. Its description in RNAcentral is "partial contains 5.8S ribosomal RNA, internal transcribed spacer 2, and large subunit ribosomal RNA". The stretch from base 1 to 120 matches the Rfam family "5.8S ribosomal RNA", at positions 35 to 154 of the family's 154-position model. The record is from RNAcentral.